RNAcentral lists this ribosomal RNA (262 nucleotides) under uncultured archaeon. Its description in RNAcentral is "partial 16S ribosomal RNA". It matches the Rfam family "Archaeal small subunit ribosomal RNA", at positions 717 to 982 of the family's 1478-position model. The record is from RNAcentral.
AGUCACUGACAUUAGAUACCCGUGUAGUCCAGGGUGUAAACGCUGCAGACUUGGUGUUGGAAGCCCUUUGGGGCAUUCAGUGCCGGAGAGAAGUUGUUAAGUCUGCUACUUGGGGAGUACGUCCGCAAGGAUGAAACUUAAAGGAAUUGGCGGGGAGCACCGCAACGGGAGGAGCGUGCGGUUUAAUUGGAUUCAACACCGUAAACUCACCAGGGAAGACUGUUACAUGAAGGCCGAGAUGAAGACUCUGCUAGAUUUCCAG